Long non-coding RNA from Grus americana (Whooping crane), 558 nucleotides. RefSeq lists it as uncharacterized. The transcript is spliced from 3 exons. NCBI's taxonomy places the organism in Eukaryota, Metazoa, Chordata, Aves, Gruiformes, Gruidae. The record is from RefSeq and is a predicted model, not a curated record.
ACAUCAGGCCAUUCCUCAAAUUAUUAAAAUCUAUUUUACUAUAGUAUCUUAAUUAAUUGACUUGUUUACAUGUUUACAAAGCUCUGUCUGUAGAUAUAAACCAGCUGUUAAUGUCAGGAACUCAGAAAUAGUGGAGUUGGCAUCCUGCAUUUCUCUUGUCAGCUGAAAUGAUGAUUGAACAUAACUGGCCACUUCAAAUUAAGUUAUCCACUUGCACGACGUAUCACUCCUGACCGUUCCAUUUCCCCCGCUAUUGAGUGGUAGAUGGUGGAUUAGUACCUCGAGCCAACGAGAGAGGCUGCACAGGGACACAAACAGGAUCUCACAUCGUUUUUAAUGAUAUUGCAUUUCUGAGGAAGGACGGAAAAAUCAGUAUUAACAUCUGUGGAGCCCGGGCAUGGACAAAGGUUCGUUGAGCUUUGGACCCAGAGCAGCAGAUGCGUCUCUGCAGAUCUCCUCACCCGGGGAAGGUUUCCCAGCCCCUGCCCUGGGGAGCAGAGGGAUGAGGGAUCCAGGAGAGGAGCAAGCGGCGGCUUACGGAGCAUCCUGAAAGGCAUG